This 64-nucleotide transfer RNA is filed under the name Dipodomys ordii (Ord's kangaroo rat). It matches the Rfam family "tRNA". From Rfam's summary of the family: Transfer RNA (tRNA) molecules are approximately 80 nucleotides in length. Their secondary structure includes four short double-helical elements and three loops (D, anti-codon, and T loops). Lineage: Eukaryota; Metazoa; Chordata; Mammalia; Rodentia; Heteromyidae. The record is from Rfam by way of RNAcentral.
GGUGGUUCAAUGGUAGAAUGCUUGCCUUGCAUGCAUGAGGCCCUGGGUUUGAUUCUCAGCACCA